UCAGAUACAUUAAUCAUCCAUUGCAUGCACUCUGGAGACAGCACCACGCUUUGUUCUUUCAUCCGUAAGAGAUUUUUCUUGCUUUCCAAAUUUACCAAUGCCAACACUGGCAAGCAGCUCCUCUGGAAAUCGUUUGUAUUUUUAAAGCCCCAAUAGCUGUCUGAAUUGGACUGAAGGCCUGUCUUACAAAGCUGCUCUCUCAACUUUUAUUCCCUGCAAUUUUAUUGAAAUUCAAGAGUUCAAAAUGUAGCAAUGAGGAACAAGCAAAGAGCAACAAGCCAGGUUUCACACAGGUCCGGAAACCAGCAACAACCCCAGAGAGAGGAUGCUUGCCUGUCCUUUAGGCCAUACGCAGUGUACCACUGCACUGACUGCAAAGAAAAAGGGAAAUGGAAAUCAGGGCAUCAACAUGAGGUGCUUGGACCAGCUCCACUGCUGCCUGCAUGAAGCCACUGCGAUGGCUGAACAAGCAACAGGCUGAGAAGCCAGCUAUGCUAGGGCUGACAUUCCCUCCCCCUGCCCUUGCCCUCUAAAGUGAAACAAGAAAAAGGCUCUGCUUCAGUUUGUGCUCUUAAUUCCUCAAGACACGUUUAUGGAAAGCCCAUGCAGCUCUGACACUGGUUUUAAGCACCCCCCUAUACAUGGUUUUGGAUUUUUUUAU
This is a long non-coding RNA of Pezoporus occidentalis (night parrot), 661 nucleotides long. RefSeq lists it as uncharacterized. Lineage: Eukaryota; Metazoa; Chordata; Aves; Psittaciformes; Psittacidae. The record is from RefSeq and is a predicted model, not a curated record. The transcript is spliced from 3 exons.